Molecule: ribosomal RNA, 253 nt
Filed under: uncultured bacterium
Lineage: Bacteria
Description: partial 16S ribosomal RNA
Rfam family: Bacterial small subunit ribosomal RNA
Source: RNAcentral
UACAGAGGUCUCAAGCGUUGUUCGGAUUCACUGGGCGUAAAGGGUGCGUAGGCGGUGCUGUAAGUCAGGUGUGAAAUCCCGGGGCUCAACCCCGAAACUGCACUUGAUACUGCAGUGCUCGAGGACUGGAGAGGAGAUCGGAAUUCAUGGUGUAGCAGUGAAAUGCGUAGAUAUCAUGAGGAAGACCGGUGGCGAAGGCGGAUCUCUGGACAGUUCCUGACGCUGAGGCACGAAGGCCAGGGGAGCAAACGGG